Molecule: ribosomal RNA, 253 nt
Filed under: uncultured bacterium
Lineage: Bacteria
Description: partial 16S ribosomal RNA
Rfam family: Bacterial small subunit ribosomal RNA
Source: RNAcentral
UACGUAGGGGGCAAGUGUUAUCCGGAUUUACUGGGUGUAAAGGGAGCGUAGACGGCAGCGCAAGUCUGAAGUGAAAGCCCGGGGCUCAACCCCGGAAUGGCUUUGGAAACUGUGCAGCUAGAGUACCGGAGGGGUAAGCGGAAUUCCUAGUGUAGCGGUGAAAUGCGUAGAUAUUAGGAGGAACACCAGUGGCGAAGGCGGCUUACUGGACGGUAACUGACGUUGAGGCUCGAAAGCGUGGGGAGCAAACAGG